GACGAACGCUGGCGGCGUGCUUAACACAUGCAAGUCGAACGGAAAGGCCCUGCUUUUGUGGGGUGCUCGAGUGGCGAACGGGUGAGUAACACGUGAGUAACCUGCCCUUGACUUUGGGAUAACUUCAGGAAACUGGGGCUAAUACCGGAUAGGAGCUCCUGCUGCAUGGUGGGGGUUGGAAAGUUUCGGCGGUUGGGGAUGGACUCGCGGCUUAUCAGCUUGUUGGUGGGGUAGUGGCUUACCAAGGCUUUGACGGGUAGCCGGCCUGAGAGGGUGACCGGCCACAUGGGAACGGGGAUACGGCCCAGACUCCUCCGGGGGGCAGCGGUGGGGAUUAUUGCACAAUGGGCGGAGGCCGGAUGCAGCAACGCGGGGUCCGGGAUGACGGCCUUCGGUUGGUAACCGGCUUUCGCCGGUGACGAGGCGUGGGUGACGGUAAUGGUUAAAGAAGCACCGGCUACUACGUG
This 467-nucleotide ribosomal RNA is filed under the name uncultured bacterium. RNAcentral's name for it is "partial 16S ribosomal RNA". It matches the Rfam family "Bacterial small subunit ribosomal RNA", at positions 28 to 507 of the family's 1533-position model. The record is from RNAcentral.